ACGAACGCUGGCGGCGUGCUUAACCCAUGCAAGUCGAACGGGUCUGCCCUGUUUUUUGCGGGGUGGGUCAGUGGCGAACGGGUGAGUAACACGUGAGUAACCUGCCCCUCACUUCUGGAUAACCGCUUGAAAGGGUGGCUAAUACGGGGUGUUCUGGCUGUGCCGCAUGGUGUGGCUGGGAAAGAUUCACUUUUGUGGUGUUUUGGUGGGGGAUGGGCUCGCGGCCUAUCAGCUUGUUGGUGGGGUGAUGGCCUGCCAAGGCUUUGACGGGUAGCCGGCCUGAGAGGGUGGGCGGUCACACUGGGACUGAGAUACGGCCCAGACUCCUGCGGGAGGCAGCAGUGGGGGGUAUUGCACAAUGGGCGGAAGCCUGAUGCAGCGACGUCGCGUGAGGGAUGGAGGCCUUCGGGUUGUGAACCUCUUUCGCCGGUGAAGAAGGUCCUGCUCUUUGUGGUGGGGUUGACGGUAGCCGGGUUAUGAAGCGCCGGCUAACUACGUG
Molecule: ribosomal RNA, 499 nt
Filed under: uncultured bacterium
Lineage: Bacteria
Description: partial 16S ribosomal RNA
Rfam family: Bacterial small subunit ribosomal RNA
Source: RNAcentral